AGGUGCUGCAUGGCUGUCGUCAGCUCGUGUCGUGAGAUGUUCGGUUAAGUCCGCUAACGAGCGCAACCCUCGCUGUGUGUUACAAGUGUCACACGGUACUGCCGGUCUUAAGCCGGAGGAAGGUGGGGAUGACGUCAAGUCAGCAUGGCCUUUAUGUCCUGGGCUACACACACGCUACAACGGCCAACACAAUAGGUUGCUAAGCCGCGAGGUGGAGCCAAUCCUCAAAGUUGGUCUCAGUUCAGAUUGCAGGCUGCAACCCGCCUGCAUGAAGAUGGAGUUGCUAGUAACCGCAGGUCAGCUAUACUGCGGUGAAUACGUUCCCGGGGCUU
Molecule: ribosomal RNA, 332 nt
Filed under: uncultured Leptolinea sp.
Lineage: Bacteria; Bacillati; Chloroflexota; Anaerolineae; Anaerolineales; Anaerolineaceae
Description: bacterial SSU rRNA
Rfam family: Bacterial small subunit ribosomal RNA
Source: RNAcentral